RNAcentral lists this ribosomal RNA (433 nucleotides) under uncultured bacterium. RNAcentral's name for it is "partial 16S ribosomal RNA". It matches the Rfam family "Bacterial small subunit ribosomal RNA", at positions 29 to 507 of the family's 1533-position model. The record is from RNAcentral.
AACGAACGCUGGCGGCAUGCCUAACACAUGCAAGUCGAACGAGAGCUUCGUGACAAUUGGCGCACGGGUGCGUAACGCGGGGGAACGUGCACUUAUAAUCCGGAUAACACUCCGAAAGGGGUGCUAAUAUCGGAUAAUGUCUUCGGACAAAAGAUUUGAUGUCUUUGGGUGGGCCCGCGUUGAUUUAGCUAGUUGGGAGGGUAAAAGCCUACUAAGGAGACGAUCCAUAGCUGGUCAUAGAGGCACAUCAGCCACACUGAGACUGGGACACGGUGCAGACUCCUACGAGAUGCAGCAAUGGGGGAUAUAGGAAGGUGGGCGGAGGCGUGAUCCAGCAAUGCUUGGUAAGUGAUGAAGGCCUUAGGGUAGUGAAGCUCUUUUACCCAGGAUGAUUCUGACGGUACCGAGAGAAUAAGCGCCGGCUAACUCCGUG